AGUGAACGCUGGCGGUAGGCCUAACACAUGCAAGUCGAACGGCAGCACAGUAAGAGCUUGCUCUUACGGGUGGCGAGUGGCGGACGGGUGAGGAAUACAUCGGAAUCUACUUUUUCGUGGGGGAUAACGUAGGGAAACUUACGCUAAUACCGCAUACGACCUACGGGUGAAAGCAGGGGAUCUUCGGACCUUGCUCGAUUUAAUGAGCCGAUGUCGGAUUAGCUAGUUGGCGGGGUAAAGGCCCACCAAGGCGACGAUCCGUAGCUGGUCUGAGAGGAUGAUCAGCCACACUGGAACUGAGACACGGUCCAGACUCCUACGGGAGGCAGCAGUGGGGAAUAUUGGACAAUGGGCGCAAGCCUGAUCCAGCAAUACCGCGUGGGUGAAGAAGGCCUUCGGGUUGUAAAGCCCUUUUGUUGGGAAAGAAAAGCAGCAGGUUAAUACCCCGAUGUUCUGACGGUACCCAAAGAAUAAGCACCGGCUAACUUCGUG
This 492-nucleotide ribosomal RNA is filed under the name uncultured bacterium. Its description in RNAcentral is "partial 16S ribosomal RNA". It matches the Rfam family "Bacterial small subunit ribosomal RNA", at positions 29 to 507 of the family's 1533-position model. The record is from RNAcentral.